ACGCUGGCUACAGGCUUAACACAUGCAAGUCGAGGGGAAACGGCGUUGAGUGCUCGCACUCUUCGGACGUCGACCGGCGCACGGGUGAGUAACGCGUAUCCAACCUUCCCGUCACUGCGGGAUAACCUGCCGAAAGGCAGACUAAUACCGCAUGGCCUUCACUGACGGCAUCAGAGGUGAAGUAAAGCUUUUUAGCGGUGACGGACGGGGAUGCGUCUGAUUAGCUGGUUGGCGGGGCGACGGCCCACCAAGGCAACGAUCAGUAGGGGUUCUGAGAGGAAGGUCCCCCACAUUGGAACUGAGACACGGUCCAAACUCCUACGAGAGGCAGCAGUGAGGAAUAUUGGUCAAUGGGCGGAAGCCUGAACCAGCCAAGUAGCGUGCAGGAUGACGGCCCUACGGGUUGUAAACUGCUUUUAUGCGGGGAUAAAGUGAGGGACGCGUCCCUUUUUGCAGGUACCGCAUGAAUAAGGACCGGCUAAUUCCGUGCCAGCAGCCGCGGUAAUACGGAAGGUCCGGGCGUUAUCCGGAUUUAUUGGGUUUAAAGGGAGCGUAGGCCGGGGAUUAAGUGUGUUGUGAAAUGUAGGCGCUCAACGUCUGAUGUGCAGCGCAUACUGGUUCCCUUGAGUACGCGCAACGCCGGCGGAAUUCGUCGUGUAGCGGUGAAAUGCUUAGAUAUGACGAAGAACCCCGAUUGCGAAGGCAGCCGGCGGGAGCGCAACUGACGCUGAAGCUCGAAGGUGCGGGUAUCGAACAGGAUUAGAUACCCUGGUAGUCCGCACGGUAAACGAUGGAUGCCCGCUCUCGGCGCCUGGCGCCGGGGGCCAAGCGAAAGCGUUAAGCAUCCCACCUGGGGAGUACGCCGGCAACGGUGAAACUCAAAGGAAUUGACGGGGGCCCGCACAAGCGG
This 910-nucleotide ribosomal RNA is filed under the name uncultured bacterium. RNAcentral describes it as "bacterial SSU rRNA". It matches the Rfam family "Bacterial small subunit ribosomal RNA", at positions 33 to 932 of the family's 1533-position model. The record is from RNAcentral.